GUCGAACCGUGCAAACGUUAUUCGGAAUCACUGGGCAUAAAGGGCGCGUAGGCGGCUUUCUAAGUCAGGGGUGAAAUCCGGCAGCUCAACUGUCGCAGUGCCUUUGAUACUGGAGAGCUCGAGGGAGGUAGGGGUCUGUGGAACUUCCGGUGGAGCGGUGAAAUGCGUUGAUAUCGGAAGGAACGCCGGUGGCGAAAGCGACGGACUGGAUCUCUUCUGACGCUGAGGCGCGAAAGCCAGGGGAGCAAACGGG
This 253-nucleotide ribosomal RNA is filed under the name uncultured bacterium. Its description in RNAcentral is "partial 16S ribosomal RNA". It matches the Rfam family "Bacterial small subunit ribosomal RNA", at positions 524 to 776 of the family's 1533-position model. The record is from RNAcentral.